GGCUGUGCUGUCCGAGCCUCGGGGCGGGGAGCCGCGGCGGGCAGUGCCGCUCGACGCUGCGGCCGGGCCGGGGUUGGGCCUGCUGGACCUCUUGUGCCCUGUAAUGGAAGAAAAGUUUGAAAAUGUCAGAGCACGCUGCUUCCCAGCCCGCCGGCGUUUGUUUGGCACCGCCGUUUUCUCCGCGUGCUCAGGAUGCUGCAGUUGAAAGUGAAGAAGUAUUGUUUGAGACAGCGUACUUGACAAUAUUCUCAGAAAUCCUUGAUUCUAUCCCACUAUUUCACACCACUGAGAGCAUGAAGACAGUACAUCAUGGAAGUGCAAAUCCUGCACAAGGAAGAUUGUAUUGGUUCAUUAUUUAAAUCUGCAUUUUCCUACAGACUCAACAAGAGCAUGUACUAAGCAAAACCAGUGCAGCCUGCAGGAGCUGAGCAGGACUUAAAAUGAGCUGCCUCUCUCACCAGCCAGAAAUUGAUGUAUUUCAAGCAGAGACAUCCCUCAUCCUGCCCCUAAGAAGCAGUGAGGCUGCAAGCACUACAGCAAUACAAAUUCCUAGUUACAAAUUCUGUGAGCACAGUUCAGUUACCCCAAGAGAGAUUUGGCUCUGGUCUCCUUUCUUGGCUCCUCAUCCUGAGGGACCCAGCUACCAUGGUUUCAAAAGCAGGGUUCAGGGCUCAGCUGGCAUCCCUGCUGCUGGGUAGAAAGACAUUGUGCUGUGUAUCACUUAUUUUUUGUACUUUUUUUGUUCUGUUUUGUUUCUGUUUGCUCUAAUUCCAACCCCUUUUCUAUUGAGCUGUCUUUAUCCCCACCCAUGAGUUUUACUUUUGUUUUUGCCUAAUUCUCUCCCUGUCCCCCCGAGUCCCUGCAUGGUACAGAACUGCCUGCCAGGUUAAACCACAGCAGAAAUGUACCAGACAGAAAGGUAAACAAAGCUUGCAGAACCAGUGAAAAUAAGAAGAUGAUGAAUUGUGAUAACUACUUUAAACUCAACACCUCCUAAUGUAGAAUAAGGCAUACGAUAUUUAAUGCUAUGCACUUCAGUUUUUACUGAUUUAGAAUAGCAAUAGAAAAAAGAGCUGAACACAGGAGAACAUCUUUGAGGCACUGGGCACUGAUAUACUACAGAACAGAGCUAAGGUUGAAAAAUAAAUCCGACCCUUAAUAAAACAGGAAUGUUUUCCAAGCUUUCUUUUCAGCUAUAUUCUUCAUAUUUUUUUUCUGAAAUUUAAUCUUAAGUGGUGGUUUAAAAAUGGACAUUUGCAGUGAAAAUAUAAUUUAAUAGUGAAGUACCAGUAACAGUAGUUCACCAGUGACUAUGAAGACAGCUGUGAAAACUUAAUAAAGCCGUAACUCCUCAUAUAUAUUGCUAUUUUAGCACCAUGUGGACUCAAAUGUUUAAUUAAAAUAAUUGCCUAUAUGGUUCUGGAUCGUCUUUUUAUUAUGAAAUGGAGACUUCAUGUGGCCUUCUACCUACUUCUUACUUUAAUUAAGCUGAGCUGUAAAUCUUUUUUUUUUUUUUUUUCCCCCACUGUUAGUUCAAUUUAAGCUCUUCUCUUUCCUCCCUUCCAGAGUAAUUAUCUCCAGUCAGGGCAUCCAUUUUUCAACAGUCUAUUCCUAACUAUGCAGAGAGAGUCCCAUAUAUGUGACUUAGAUUGUUGUACAAGCUAAAUCCUGGAAGAAAGUAUGUUUUCCAAUCUAGUCCUCCCCACAGACCAAAUAGAAUAUGUAUAGAAUAUGUAUUGACUCCUACUUCAAAUGAAAACUGUUCUGUGCUGUGACUACCGUUUACAACAUCAUAUCUUCAAGAUAUAAUGACAAACAAUCCCUUAUGUUGAUACUUAUUUGAUUAUUGCUAUUAAAAUUCAGUGUAUUUGAAUUUGAAUUCAUGUCAGUUCUACUCAUGUCUUGCCCAAGGAUGCUGUGGAUGCCCCAUCCCUGGAGGCAUUCAAGGCCAGGCUGGAUGUGGCUCUGGGCAGCCUGGUCUGCUGGUUGGUGACCCUGCACACAGCAGGGGGGUUGAAACUGGAUGAUCAUUGUGGUCCUUUUCAACCCAGGCCAUUCUAUGAUUCUGUGAUUCUGUGUCUUAUAUUUUAUGCUAGAUUUAGCAAUUGUGUAUUUCCUGUGCACGUUUAACUAAGGAUUGGUGUAGGAUUGCUGUUCGUCACACUUUUUCCGAUGUUCUUGAAGAAGUCUGUCUCGACGGCAUGGAAUAAAUAACCUAUUAUCCCUC
This is a long non-coding RNA of Gallus gallus (chicken), 2227 nucleotides long. The record is from Ensembl. Lineage: Eukaryota; Metazoa; Chordata; Aves; Galliformes; Phasianidae.